Molecule: ribosomal RNA, 767 nt
Filed under: uncultured bacterium
Lineage: Bacteria
Description: bacterial SSU rRNA
Rfam family: Bacterial small subunit ribosomal RNA
Source: RNAcentral
GGCGGACGGGGGAGUAAUGCUUGGGAACUUGCCUUUGCGAGGGGGAUAACAGUUGGAAACGACUGCUAAUACCGCAUAAUGUCUACGGACCAAAGGGGGCUUUUAGCUCUCGCGUGAAGAGAGGCCCAAGUGAGAUUAGCUAGUUGGUGAGGUAAAGGCUCACCAAGGCGACGAUCUCUAGCUGUUCUGAGAGGAAGAUCAGCCACACUGGGACUGAGACACGGCCCAGACUCCUACGGGAGGCAGCAGUGGGGAAUAUUGCACAAUGGGGGAAACCCUGAUGCAGCCAUGCCGCGUGUGUGAAGAAGGCCUUCGGGUUGUAAAGCACUUUCAGUUGUGAGGAAAGGUUGGUAGUUAAUACCUGCCAGCUGUGACGUUAACAACAGAAGAAGCACCGGCUAACUCCGUGCCAGCAGCCGCGGUAAUACGGAGGGUGCGAGCGUUAAUCGGAAUUACUGGGCGUAAAGCGCACGCAGGCGGUUUGUUAAGCUAGAUGUGAAAGCCCCGGGCUCAACCUGGGAUGGUCAUUUAGAACUGGCAGACUAGAGUCUUGGAGAGGGGAGUGGAAUUCCAGGUGUAGCGGUGAAAUGCGUAGAGAUCUGGAGGAACAUCAGUGGCGAAGGCGACUCCCUGGCCAAAGACUGACGCUCAUGUGCGAAGUGUGGGUAGCGAACAGGAUUAGAUACCCUGGUUAGUCCACACCGUAAACGCUGUCUACUUAGCUGUGUGUGUAUUUUAUACGUGCGUAGCGAAGCUACGCGCUAAGU